This 2144-nucleotide long non-coding RNA is filed under the name Cucumis sativus (cucumber). RNAcentral describes it as "long non-coding RNA (CSAT_LNC000846)". The record is from RNAcentral. Lineage: Eukaryota; Viridiplantae; Streptophyta; Magnoliopsida; Cucurbitales; Cucurbitaceae.
CGACCGGUUCAACAGCAGGAGUCUCAGGAGGAAGCGAAGGAACACAACCGCCACCGCCACCGCCGCCAAAGGAAGAAGAGAGAGUGGAAGCCGAUGUGGGAGGACUGGGGCUUCUCAUAUGAAGAACGGAAGUGGGUUCGUUGUUGGGUAAAGCAAAAUAAGAAAACCCUUCUUGUUCUUCGUCUAGUUCUUGUUCUUGUUGUUCUUCCCCUUUCUUAACCCACUUUUCUGCAAAACCAGAGCAAAUCGGAGAAGAAGAAGAAAAAGCAGCUGAAAAUUCCAACUCCCCCUUCCCCUGAAAAUGAAAGGAAAUACCCCUCAUACCCAGAGGAACAAAAACCAGAAAAUGAAGAACAACAAAAACAAUAUUCCAAAGGGUUUCUUCAAGUAAGUAGAAGAAAUCAAAAUUUCAGGGUUUAAUUUGAAACCCACCAUUUUUCUUUGCAUGCCAUCAAAUCCCAAAAUCCCAUUUUUCACAGAUUGUUCUUCAAAUUCCUUCUUUCCCCUCCUUUCUUCUUCUUCCACCUCAACUUCCUCUUCCUUCUACUUUCCAUUUCCAUAAUCUCUAUUUCUUUUACUCCAUUUUCAGCUACCCUUUUGCUUUCUUCCUCUGUUUUUCUUGAUACUAUCUUCUUCUUCUUCUACUUCUUAUCAAGUGUGUGAGUUGUUUUUGUUUGUUCUUCUAGGCUUGUGUUGUAGCAGUGGUCUGUGGCCUUCUCUGUUCUGCCAUGGAUGCGUACAUCAUAAAAAAGGCAAUAAAGUGUACGCCCCCUUCUCCUCCACUCUCUCUCUCUCUUGUUUUUCUCUCUCUUACUACCAUUACUUUUCUUCUCUUUCUUCUUCUUGCUUCUUUUCUUUUUCUAUUUUCAAUUUUUUUGGGUUAAAAUUGGUUUUGUUUUUGGCCCUUUUUGUUAAUUUUUCUUUUCUUGCUUUGGGUUUUCUCUGUCACUUCUGCCUUGUAGUGGCCAUACUGUUCUAAUUUCUUGAAAGCCCAAAACCAACCAAAGUGAAAACAGAGAGAUGAGAAGAGAAGAUGCAAAAGAGGGGCCUUUGUGAUUUCCUUUUUUUCUCUUUUCAAUGUUACAACUUAUAAACCAAAAUCCUUUCUUUUUAUUUCUCUUCUUUCUCAUUCCAAUAUAUGAUUAUUAUUAGGUCCAACACAUAGUUUAAAACAAGAACAUUACAGCUUAUGUCAAGUUUUCAUUUUUGAUAUAUUGAAAAGCUAAAGGUUUGAUUUCUCACUUUACAUAUUAUCUAAAAAAUAAUAAGAUAAAUAUAUGUUCAUGUUAUUCGAUUGUUAGAGAUGAAAUCUCAUGAUUUGGAUAUGAUAAAUCUUCGGCUGAGAAAGGAGUCGCCAUUAAGUGAAAUUGGAGUCCUCGUUGAAGAUUUUAUUUUGUGUGAGAAUCUUGUUAAUGUUUUUUCUUCAUCCCUAAGUAGUAUAACAAAUUUGCUCAUGUUGUUGCACAUCCUCUCGUAGUUGUUGUUGUGGUAAGAGAUCUUUUGCGAUAGUAUCACUCUUCUCGUUUGUGAUGAGGUGGUGAGAAAGUAGUCAAUGUAAUUUUGUUUUUUUGUUUGCUUAAAAAGAUGAUAAGAUGUUAAUUACUAUUUCAAAAUUAGUUAAUAAUUUUAUAUUUUGUUUUUCCAAUAGUUAAACAAGAAAAAAAAAAAAGUUGAAAAAUGUCAUUUCAGGUGUAAUAGAUAAGGCAUAUUACAUUCAUUAAAGAUUUUUUUUUCUCCACAUUGGUUUAGGGUUAAAUUGUAACGAUAGGAUGAAAGAAGAUUGAAAGAUGUUUUAAUUAUAUUUCUAAACUUUAAAAUGUUUCAUUUUUAUCCUUUUACAGUGUGAUUUGUUUUUUCUUAAAAAAAACAUUUGUAAAAAUUGAUUUCAUCGAAUGAUUUUAUGAUUUUAACAAAAAAAAAAAAGAUAAUAAAUGGUAAUCACGGUCUUAAUUUAUCUUUUUAAAGCAUAACAAUUGAAGAUUGAAGGAUUCCAACUUCUCAACUUCAAGAUAGAAUGUCAUGUCAAAGCCUUAAUUAGUGAUAAACCAUAUCAUGGUUAAGUCUUUAUCACCAAUAAGAGUAAUUAAAAAAUAAUGUCUGUAACCGAUAAUUUUACAUAUAUCUAAGAUUCGUAUACUUAAUUA